GAAACUACAAAUGAAGUUGACGGGGCCCGCACAAGCGGUGGAGUAUGUGGUUUAAUUCGAUGCAACGCGAAGAACCUUACCUGGUCUUGACAUCCCGGAGACCCUUAGGAACUAGGGGUGCUUCCAUCUGGAAGAAUCUGGAGACAGGUGCUGCAUGGCUGUCGUCAGCUCGUGUCGUGAGAUGUUGGGUUAAGUCCCGCAACGAGCGCAACCCUUGCCUUUAGUUGCCAGCAGUUCGGCUGGGCACUCUAAAGGGACUGCCGGUGUUAAACCGGAGGAAGGUGGGGAUGACGUCAAGUCCUCAUGGCCUUUAUGACCAGGGCUACACACGUACUACAAUGGCCGAUACAAAGGGCAGCGACACUGCGAGGUGAAGCCAAUCCCGUAAAAUCGGUCUCAGUCCGGAUUGGAGUCUGCAACUCGACUCCAUGAAGUUGGAAUCGCUAGUAAUCGUGGAUCAGCAUGCCACGGUGAAUACGUUCCCGGGCCUU
This 491-nucleotide ribosomal RNA is filed under the name uncultured Desulfobulbus sp. Its description in RNAcentral is "bacterial SSU rRNA". It matches the Rfam family "Bacterial small subunit ribosomal RNA", at positions 896 to 1382 of the family's 1533-position model. Lineage: Bacteria; Pseudomonadati; Thermodesulfobacteriota; Desulfobulbia; Desulfobulbales; Desulfobulbaceae. The record is from RNAcentral.